RNAcentral lists this transfer RNA (90 nucleotides) under bacterium. RNAcentral's name for it is "tRNA-Ser". It matches the Rfam family "tRNA". From Rfam's summary of the family: Transfer RNA (tRNA) molecules are approximately 80 nucleotides in length. Their secondary structure includes four short double-helical elements and three loops (D, anti-codon, and T loops). The record is from RNAcentral.
GGAGAGGUGUCCGAGAGGCCGAAGGAACACGACUGGAAAUCGUGUUCUCGUGAAAGCGAGACGUGGGUUCGAAUCCCACCCUCUCCGCCA